GAUGAACGCUGGCGGCGUGCUUAACACAUGCAAGUCGAACGGAAAGGCCAGUGCUUGCCCUGGUGCUCGAGUGGCGAACGGGUGAGUAACACGUGGGUGAUCUGCCCUGCACUUUGGGAUAAGCCUGGGAAACUGGGUCUAAUACCAGAUAGGACCAUGCUUUGGAUGGUGUGGUGGAAAGUUUUUUCGGUGUGGGAUGAGCUUGCGGCCUAUCAGCUUGUUGGUGGGGUAAUGGCCUACCAAGGCGUCGACGGGUAGCCGGCCUGAGAGGGUGUACGGCCACAUUGGGACUGAGAGACGGCCCAGACUCCUACGGGAGGCAGCAGUGGGGAAUAUUGCACAAUGGGCGCAAGCCUGAUGCAGCGACGCCGCGUGGGGGAUGACGGCCUUCGGGUUGUAAACUCCUUUCGCAACUGACGAAGCUUUUUGUGACGGUAGGUUGAGAAGAAGCACCGGCUAACUACGUG
This 467-nucleotide ribosomal RNA is filed under the name uncultured bacterium. RNAcentral describes it as "partial 16S ribosomal RNA". It matches the Rfam family "Bacterial small subunit ribosomal RNA", at positions 28 to 507 of the family's 1533-position model. The record is from RNAcentral.